Molecule: long non-coding RNA, 424 nt
Organism: Serinus canaria (Common canary)
Lineage: Eukaryota; Metazoa; Chordata; Aves; Passeriformes; Fringillidae
Exons: 3
Source: RefSeq, a predicted model, not a curated record
AGCAGCUCGUGGCGGGUGAUGAUGUCACCCCAAUACCCCAUACACUGACAGUGACCCCGUAUAUUGCGAGAGUGACCCCAUAUAUCGCGAUAUAUCGUGACACGGCAGGCACUCACCGAGGCUCUGUCUCUUGAGGCUGAUGUAGCAGGUUGUGGUGAGUGAUUAUGUCACCCCAAUACCACCCCGUAUAUCGCGACAGUGACUCCAUAUAUCGCGAUAUAUCGCGACCGGCACUCACCGGGGCGCCGUCUCUUAAGGCUGAUGUAGGGCAGCAGGUCGUGGCGGGUGAUGAUGCGCAGCAGCUGCAGCAGCUGCCGCAGGUUGCUCUCGUCGCAGCGGCCCUGGCGCUCCAGGGCCAGCAGGAAGUCGCGGCCCGAGCGGAUGCGGCCGCGCUCGGCCUCGUCCAGCACGUCCACGAAGAGGA